Molecule: transfer RNA, 86 nt
Filed under: Thermoanaerobacterium sp. RBIITD
Lineage: Bacteria; Bacillati; Bacillota; Clostridia; Thermoanaerobacterales; Thermoanaerobacteraceae
Description: tRNA_Tyr_GTA
Rfam family: tRNA
About the family: Transfer RNA (tRNA) molecules are approximately 80 nucleotides in length. Their secondary structure includes four short double-helical elements and three loops (D, anti-codon, and T loops).
Source: RNAcentral
GGAGGGAUACCCAAGUGGCUAAAGGGGGCAGACUGUAAAUCUGUUGGCUGACGCCUUCGCUGGUUCGAAUCCAUCUCCCUCCACCA